UACGUAGGGGGCGAGCGUUAUCCGGAUUUACUGGGCGUAAAGCGCGUUAAGGCGGUUGGCAAAGUUGGCUGUGAAAUCUCAGGGCUCAACCCUGAAAUUGCGACCAAUACUGGUCGACUAGAGUGUGAGAGAGGAAGGUGGAAUUCCCGGUGUAGUAGUGAAAUGCGUAGAUAUCGGGAGGAACACCAGUGGCGAAGGCGGCCUUCUGGCUCAUAACUGACGCUGUAGCGCGAAAGCGUGGGGAGCGAACCGG
This 253-nucleotide ribosomal RNA is filed under the name uncultured bacterium. RNAcentral's name for it is "partial 16S ribosomal RNA". It matches the Rfam family "Bacterial small subunit ribosomal RNA", at positions 524 to 776 of the family's 1533-position model. The record is from RNAcentral.